This 75-nucleotide transfer RNA is filed under the name Thioploca ingrica. RNAcentral describes it as "tRNA-Arg (CCG) (tRNA-Arg-CCG-1-1)". It matches the Rfam family "tRNA". From Rfam's summary of the family: Transfer RNA (tRNA) molecules are approximately 80 nucleotides in length. Their secondary structure includes four short double-helical elements and three loops (D, anti-codon, and T loops). The record is from Rfam by way of RNAcentral. RNAcentral also lists the same sequence under 1 other name. Lineage: Bacteria; Pseudomonadati; Pseudomonadota; Gammaproteobacteria; Thiotrichales; Thiotrichaceae.
GCGUCCGUAGCUCAGCCUGGAUAGAGCGUUGGCCUCCGGAGCCAAAGGUCACGGGUUCAAAUCCUGUCGGGCGCG